CGUAUACGGCAGGGUGCAAGCGUUAAUCGGAAUUACUGGGCGUACAGCGCACGCAGGCGGUCUGUUAAGUCAGAUGUGAAAUCCCCGGGCUUAACCUUGGGAACUGCAUUUGAAACUGGCAGGCUUGAGUCUCGUAGAGGGGGGUAGAAUUCCAGGUGUAGCGGUGAAAUGCGUAUAGAUCUGGAGGAAUACCGGUGGCGAAGGCGGCCCCCUGGACGAAGACUGACGCUCAGGUGCGAAAGCGUGGGGAGCAAACAGGAUUAGAUACCCUGGUAGUCCACGCCGUAAACGAUGUCGACUUGGAGGCUGUUUCCUUGAGGAGUGGCUUCCGGAGCUAACGCGUUAAGUCGACCGCCUGGGGAGUACGGCCGCAAGGUUAAAACUCAGAUGAAUUGACGGGGGCCCGCACAAGCGGUGGAGCAUGUGGUUUAAUUCGAUGCAACGCGAAGAACCUUACCUGGUCUUGACAUCCACGGAAUUCGGCAGAGAUGCCCUAGUGCCUUCGGGAACCGUGAGACAGGUGCUGGAUGGCUGUCGUCAGCUCGUGUUGUGAAAUGUUGGGUUAAGUCCCGCAACGAGCGCAACCCUUAUUCUUUGUUGCCAGCGCGUGAUGGCGGGAACUCAGAGGAUACUGCCGGUGAUAAACCGGAGGAAGGUGGUGAUGACGUCAAGUCAUCAUGGCCCUUACGACCAGGGCUACACACGUGCUACAAUGGCGCAUACAAAGAGAAGCGACCUCGCGAGAGCAAGCGGACCUCAUAAAGUGCGUCGUAGUCCGGAUUGUAGUCUGCAACUCGACUCCCUGAAGUCGGAAUCGCUAGUACUCGUGGAUCCAUAAUGCCACGGUGAAUACGUUCCCGGGCCUUGUACCACACCGCCCGUCCACAUCGAUGGGGAGUGGGUUGCCAAAAGAAGUAGCAUUAGAUCAUCCUCCGGGAGGGCGCUUACUACUCUGUUAUCAUGACUGGGGAUGGAGUCCUACUAGACGCGUAUAAAAUAAAAAA
Molecule: ribosomal RNA, 1004 nt
Filed under: Mixta calida
Lineage: Bacteria; Pseudomonadati; Pseudomonadota; Gammaproteobacteria; Enterobacterales; Erwiniaceae
Description: bacterial SSU rRNA
Rfam family: Bacterial small subunit ribosomal RNA
Source: RNAcentral